This 73-nucleotide transfer RNA is filed under the name Ovis aries (sheep). It matches the Rfam family "tRNA". Rfam says of the family: Transfer RNA (tRNA) molecules are approximately 80 nucleotides in length. Their secondary structure includes four short double-helical elements and three loops (D, anti-codon, and T loops). The record is from Rfam by way of RNAcentral. Lineage: Eukaryota; Metazoa; Chordata; Mammalia; Artiodactyla; Bovidae.
UCUCUGGUGGUCCAGUGGCUAAGACUCCACGCUCCUAAUGCAGGGGACCCAGGUUUGAUUCCUGGUCAAGGAA